GCCAGGUGUAGUGGUGUGCACCUGUAAUCCCAGCUACUCGGGAGGCUGAGGCAGGAGAAUUGCUUGAACCCGGGAGUCAGAGGUUGCAGUGAGCCGAAAUGUCGCCACUGCCCUCCAGCCUCGGUGACAGAGUGAGAUCCUGUCUCAA
Molecule: non-coding RNA, 148 nt
Filed under: Chlorocebus sabaeus (green monkey)
Lineage: Eukaryota; Metazoa; Chordata; Mammalia; Primates; Cercopithecidae
Source: Rfam by way of RNAcentral